CUUAAGAAAUAAUUUAAGAUCGGGCCUGCUCACUGAAUAUUAAAGAGCUGCGGUAUUUUGACCGUGCAAAGGUAGCAUAAUCAUUAGUUCUUUAAUUGGGAACUGGAAUGAAAGGUUUGAUGAAACAUUUACUGUCUUGGAUUAAAAAAUUGAAUUUAAUUUUUAAGUUAAAAAGCUUAAAUGAAUAAAAGGGACGAGAAGACCCUAUAGAUUUUGAUAUUAGAUUUAUUAGUCAGUAUUAAGGAUAAAGGUUAAAUUAAUAAAUUUAGUAUUUGGUUGGGGUGAUAUUAGAAUAAAUAAACUUCUAUUUUAGGAGAACAAAAAUGAUUGGAUUUGUGAUCCUAUAUUAAGGAUUAAAAGAUUAAAAUACCUUAGGGAUAACAGCGUAAUUUUGUUUGAGAGUUCAAAUCGAGAAUAAAGAUUGCGACCUCGAUGUUGGAUUAAGAAAAUUAAUUGGUGAAGAAGUUAAAAUAAUAAGUCUGUUC
RNAcentral lists this ribosomal RNA (485 nucleotides) under Amusurgus sp. Van. Its description in RNAcentral is "partial 16S ribosomal RNA". It matches the Rfam family "Bacterial large subunit ribosomal RNA", at positions 1832 to 2582 of the family's 2925-position model. The record is from RNAcentral. Lineage: Eukaryota; Metazoa; Arthropoda; Insecta; Orthoptera; Trigonidiidae.